This 335-nucleotide ribosomal RNA is filed under the name uncultured bacterium. RNAcentral describes it as "bacterial SSU rRNA". It matches the Rfam family "Bacterial small subunit ribosomal RNA", at positions 335 to 660 of the family's 1533-position model. The record is from RNAcentral.
UCUNCUUCGGGAGGCAGCAGUAGGGAAUUUUCCGCAAUGGACGAAAGUCUGNCGGAGCANCGCCGCGUGAGUGAUGAAGGCUUUCGGGUCGUAAAACUCUGUUGUUAGGGAAGAACAAGUGCUAGUUGAAUAAGCUGGCACCUUGACGGUACCUAACCAGAAAGCCACGGCUAACUACGUGCCAGCAGCCGCGGUAAUACGUAGGUGGCAAGCGUUAUCCGGAAUUAUUGGNCGUAAAGCGCGCGCAGGNGGUUUCUUAAGUCUGAUGUGAAAAAGNCACGGCUCAACCGUGGAGGGUCAUUGGAAACUGGCAGAGCUUGAGGCAGAAGAGAAAU